AUUGAACGCUGGCGGCAGGCCUAACACAUGCAAGUCGAACGAGUGGCGGACGGGUGAGUAAUGUCUGGGAAACUGCCUGAUGUAGGGGGAUAACUACUGGAAACGGUAGCUAAUACCGCAUACCAUCAGAUGUGCCCAUAUGGGAUUAGCUAGUUGGUGGGGUAACGGAUCACCAAUGCGACGAUCCCUAGCUGGUCUGAGAGGAUGACCAGCCACACUGGAGCUGGUACACGGUGCAGACUCCUACGUGAGGCAGCAGUGGGGAAUAUUGCACAAUGGGCGCAAGCCUGAUGCAGCCAUGCCGCGUGUAUGAAGAAGGCCUUCGGGUUGUAAAGUACUUCCAGCGAGGAGGCGUUACCCGCAGAAGAAGCACCGGCUAACUCCGUGCCAGCAGCCGCGGUAAUAC
Molecule: ribosomal RNA, 406 nt
Filed under: uncultured bacterium
Lineage: Bacteria
Description: partial 16S ribosomal RNA
Rfam family: Bacterial small subunit ribosomal RNA
Source: RNAcentral